This 170-nucleotide ribosomal RNA is filed under the name uncultured Alphaproteobacteria bacterium. Its description in RNAcentral is "partial 16S ribosomal RNA". It matches the Rfam family "Bacterial small subunit ribosomal RNA", at positions 338 to 525 of the family's 1533-position model. Lineage: Bacteria; Pseudomonadati; Pseudomonadota; Alphaproteobacteria. The record is from RNAcentral.
CCUACGGGAGGCAGCAGUGGGGAAUCUUAGGCAAUGGGGGCAACCCUGAUCUAGCCAUGCCGCGUGAGUGAUGAAGGCCUUAGGGUCGUAAAGCUCUUUCGCCUGUGAUGAUAAUGACAGUAGCAGGUAAAGAAACCCCGGCUAACUCCGUGCCAGCAGCCGCGGUAAUA